GCUGCCUCCACCAGCGAACUCCAGAACAAUGGUUGCCUACAGACCCGUGCCGGCUUUUUCUCAGGCUCGGACCUGGAUACUUGUCGAUUGAGGAUUUCAGUACACAUGCUCCUGCUCCUGGGACUCCCGAGGAACCUACGCCAGGAUUCUGUUUGUGGACUUCAGCUCUGCAUUCCCCAGAAUCACCCCCUCUCUGCUGCAGGAUGAGCUCUCCCGGCUGCACGUGCCCGACUCCACCUGCAAGUGGAUCACUGACAGGCUGGGAAAGCACGUCUCACUUUACCGGAGCAUCCGCACCGGUUCCCCCCAGUCACCAGUCCGUCAAGCUCCUCAAGUUGUGGAGCUUGACACCACCCUCACUGCACUCAUCUCUGGUGGGGAUGAGUCCGCCUUCAGGUUGGAGAUUGUCCAACUUGUGAACUGGUGCAGUGAAAACAACUUAGAGCUCAACGGUCUGAAGACAGUGAAGAUGGUGGUGGAUUUCCAAAGGAACGCAGCCCCACCUUCCCCCCAUCACCCUGUGUGACUCCCCUGUCACGGCUGGGGAGCUGUGGAGGCUCCACCACAAGAAGGUUCAGCAGAGAAUGUACUUCGUAAGGCAACGGAAGAAGUUCAUUCUGCCAGAGACAACGAUGGUACAAUUCUAAACGACCAUUAUAUAGUCCAUCGUCUGCUCGUCCAUCACCGUCUGGUACGCUCCAGCCACAGCCAAGGACAAGGGCAGGCUGCAGCGUGUCAUCCGCUCUGCAGAAAGGGUGACCGGAUGCAAUCUGCCGUCCCUCCAGGACCUGCUCGCUUCAAGGGCCCUGGAGCGAGCUAAAAAGAUUGUAGCCGACCCCUCUCACCCAGGUCAAAAUCUGUUUGUGCCCCAUUUGGCAGGAGGCUGAGGUCCAUCAGGACUAAGACCUCCCGCCACACGAACAGUUUCUGUUUUGUUCUGUCUGAGGGCUCAUCAACAGAGGCCAGGUCCCCUGUUGACUGACUCCACUCAAAACACUUUUAGCCACUUUCAAUACAUUGUGUAUAGUAUUGUUAUUGGUUUGCCUGUGUACUUUAACUCUUUUACUUUGUAUUGUGUAUUCUUGUAUUUCCGUGUAUGUCCAACAAAUGUAUAAUAAUAAGUAUAACUGUAAGGCAAAUAAAUGUUUCUGAUUCGUAAUACUGAACCAAUCACCAGAACACAUGUCUGUCUGUGUAACAAACGUGGCAAAUAAUGGCUUCUGAUGUGUAAUUUCUGAUAAAAUUAGAACAUAUGCGAACAUUUUUUAUGAUAUGGUAUCUUCAAUACUUUAUCAAAUUUAAUUCUCACAAUAAAUUAAUCGACAGGAAAGGAUUUUAAAAAGGCCAGAAGUCAGAACAUGAUCUGUUUGUUUUGUUCUACUCUCUGUAGACCAGUAUGAAUUAAUGUGGCAUCAAAAGAUUGACUCAGUGUCGUCUGAGCAUCCUUCACCCACGCUGUGAGGCGCACCCACAGUACAUCCCUUACCGAGUGCUCCUUAAGGUAGAGAAAGAACAAGACAUUUCUCUCAAUGGGAAUAAUUUAAAAUGGAACUGAACAAUCCAAACAACGCAGCUAUGGAUCCUUGCUCAAGGCUGUGAAGAGAAUCUUUGCAUGUGUUGGUUUUAAAAACUGACCUACUUCUAAAGCUAGCAGACGGGACUGAUCCUGGCAGAGUCCACUGACAGAAAAUAACGCUCCAACGCUUGCUUCUCAGUAACUUUAAGCACGUCGCAUCAAGUCCACAUCACCCUAAGCCAGUACCAUGUCCAAUGUAUGUGUGUGAGGUGUCAAUUUAGCUUCCCUACCUUCUGCAUCUCUUAAGUUAUCACAUGGACAAUUAAUCAGAGAUACACAUUUAUACGCAUUUACAAUAUCACCUCUACUGUACUUACAUAUCAAUUUGAAUGUCACUAUUUAAUAGGCUAUGUUCACAUAUACACAUAUAUAUAUAGAGCAUGCAUACAGUUUGACUAUGGUUUCCACUAGGGGUGUAAUGAUUCAUCCACUGAAUCGAUUAAUCGACUUAUAUUCCUGCGAUCCAACGGAAUCGAUCUGUGGUCCGCAAAUCGGC
Gasterosteus aculeatus aculeatus (three-spined stickleback) is the source of this 2072-nucleotide non-coding RNA. The record is from RefSeq and is a predicted model, not a curated record. NCBI's taxonomy places the organism in Eukaryota, Metazoa, Chordata, Actinopteri, Perciformes, Gasterosteidae.